RNAcentral lists this transfer RNA (67 nucleotides) under Marmota monax (woodchuck). Its description in RNAcentral is "tRNA.Ala". It matches the Rfam family "tRNA". Rfam says of the family: Transfer RNA (tRNA) molecules are approximately 80 nucleotides in length. Lineage: Eukaryota; Metazoa; Chordata; Mammalia; Rodentia; Sciuridae. The record is from RNAcentral.
GGUUGUAGCUCAGUGGAAGAGUGCUUACCUAGCAUGUGUGAGGCACUGGGUUCAAUUCUCAGCACCA